UACGUAGGGGGCAAGCGUUGUCCGGAUUUAUUGGGCGUAAAGAGCGUGUAGGCGGCUAGAUAGGUCCGUUGUGAAAACUCGAGGCUCAACCUCGAGACGCCGGUGGAAACCAUCUAGCUAGAGUCCGGAAGAGGAGAAUGGAAUUCCUGGUGUAGCGGUGAAAUGCGCAGAUAUCAGGAAGAACACCCGUGGCUAAGGCGGUUCUCUAGUACGGUACUGACGCUGAGACGCGAAAGCGUGGGGAGCGAACAGG
This 253-nucleotide ribosomal RNA is filed under the name uncultured bacterium. RNAcentral's name for it is "partial 16S ribosomal RNA". It matches the Rfam family "Bacterial small subunit ribosomal RNA", at positions 524 to 776 of the family's 1533-position model. The record is from RNAcentral.